Molecule: ribosomal RNA, 253 nt
Filed under: uncultured bacterium
Lineage: Bacteria
Description: partial 16S ribosomal RNA
Rfam family: Bacterial small subunit ribosomal RNA
Source: RNAcentral
GACGAACCGAGCGAACGUUGUUCGGAAUCACUGGGCUUAAAGGGCGCGUAGGCGGGCUGCCGCGUCCGGGGUGAAAUCCCACGGCUCAACCGUGGAACUGCCCCGGAUACGGGCGGCCUCGAGGGGGGUAGGGGCAUCUGGAACUGUGAGUGGAGCGGUGAAAUUCGUAGAUAUUCGCAAGAACACCAGUGGCGAAGGCGGCUCACUGGCCCGGUACUGACGCUGAGGUGCGAAAGCGUGGGGAGCAAACAGG